UGUAGCAAUACAUUGCUGGUCCUAGUGGCGCACGGGUGAGUAACACGUGGGUAACCUGCCCUUGAGUUCGGGAUACCCCCUCGAAAGGGGGGCUAAUACCGGAUACGUUCCUCGGAUCGACAGGUCUGGGGAGGAAAGGUGGCGCAAGCUGCCGCUCUUGGAGGGGCUCGCGGCCUAUCAGCUAGUUGGCGGGGUAACGGCCCACCAAGGCUAUGACGGGUAGCUGGUCUGAGAGGACGACCAGUCACACGGGGACUGAGACACGGCCCCGACUCCUACGGGAGGCAGCAGUGGGGAAUUUUCCGCAAUGGGCGAAAGCCUGACGGAGUGACGCCGCGUGUGGGACGAAGGCCUUCGGGUCGUAAACCACUGUCAGUGGGAAAGAAGGGUGUCGGUGCUAAUACCACCGGCAUUUGACGGUACCUGCAGAGGAAGCCCCGGCCAACUCUGUGCCAGCAGCCGCGGUAAGACAGAGGGGGCAAGCGUUGCUCGGAAUUACUGGGCGUAAAGGGCGCGUAGGCGGGAUGGCAAGUCGGUCGUGAAAUCCUUCGGCUCAACCGAAGAACGUCGAUCGAUACUGCUGUUCUUGAGGAUUGCAGAGGAGACUGGAAUUCCCGGUGUAGCGGUGAAAUGUGUAGAGAUCGGGAGGAACACCGGUGGCGAAGGCGGGUCUCUGGGCAAUUCCUGACGCUGAGGCGCGAAAGCGUGGGGAGCAAACGGGAUUAGAUACCCCGGUAGUCCACGCUGUAAACGAUGACGACUAGUGG
Molecule: ribosomal RNA, 767 nt
Filed under: uncultured Bacillota bacterium
Lineage: Bacteria; Bacillati; Bacillota
Description: bacterial SSU rRNA
Rfam family: Bacterial small subunit ribosomal RNA
Source: RNAcentral